CUAGGACCAGCGCGUGGAUCGCUGAGAGCCCACCCGAAUCUGCUCUUCCCCACGCAACAGGCCGUUGAGGCUACGGGACAAGCUGUAUUAUAUGUUUCCUGCUUUUGGCAGGAUUAGGAGUUGAACCCAGGGUCUUCACACUGAGUGACAUCCCCAGACCUUUUUAUCUUUUGUUUUUGGAUAAGGCCUCGACCCUUAAGUCGCUAAAUUGCCCAGGCUGAGCUAUAAUUUGAAAUCUUUCUUCCUCAGCCUAAUAGUGUGUUGGGGUUACAGACAUGCACAACUGGCUAACAGACAAGGUGUGGAGGCAAAAAGACAUCUUUAUUCAAGAAUUUACCUGCCAGAGAAGAUGGAGAACCCUUGCUUAAAUUCUGUCUUGCUGAGGGCCGAUUGGGAGGUGGUGACCUGAGGCCAAUGGGCAGCACCUCAGAGGGAGGUCUGUGGCCACAUAACCUUCUUCGAUCACAUCCAGUCCCGAGGUGCUCCUCCAUUCCGCAGUUCUCAUCCAUGGCUUCCUGUUAUUUACUUAUCCUUCUCUGCCAGCCUGGGCAACUUAGCAAGACCAGGUCUCAAAAUAAAAUGGACAAAGACUGGGGUGGGGCUCACUGGCUGAGCGCUUCGCAUGCACAAGGCCCUGGGACGACCCAUGCACUAAACAUGGAACACGAGCAAGUUAAAAAAUAUGUGUGUCCCAUCUUAGGGAAGGCACCGAGGCCACUGGACUGUGCCCUUUGGCUCGGAGGGACCCACAGCCCACCAGAUGGGCGUGAGGCUCUCUGUGCAGAAGCUUGGGCCUGGGCAUUUCAGGGAGCCCUGGGAUGUGAACUCAGGCCCCAGGAGGAGCCAUCCCACACACAUUGCCUACUGGCUGCACGGGACUCCUCGCUGGGGUAGAGGAUGGGCACUGACGGGGCUUCUCGAGUCCAUGAUGGACAUUUCCAUAGAUAAAUAUUCUGCCCAGAUGUUAAUUUUCCUUCAAAUAAAGUAUCUGAGUUGACCA
This is a long non-coding RNA of Cavia porcellus (domestic guinea pig), 1000 nucleotides long. RefSeq lists it as uncharacterized. The transcript has 2 exons. Lineage: Eukaryota; Metazoa; Chordata; Mammalia; Rodentia; Caviidae. The record is from RefSeq and is a predicted model, not a curated record.